This 300-nucleotide long non-coding RNA is filed under the name Elaeis guineensis (African oil palm). RNAcentral's name for it is "long non-coding RNA (EGUI_LNC037490)". The record is from RNAcentral. Lineage: Eukaryota; Viridiplantae; Streptophyta; Magnoliopsida; Arecales; Arecaceae.
GCAGAGAAACAUCAACUACUGGCUCAUAGACUACGGAUUCCUGAGGAUCUAUAGCUCUAGACUCUUCAGAGAUCUUCUCUUCGGGUUCCAUUAACCUCCCACUGCCGCCAUCCUAAAUAAACUAUUUUUUCAGGAACACGGCAUUUCGACUCACAAAUCACAUUAUGGUCUUAUGGAAAGUAGUAUUCUAUGAAUUUUUUUGGGUAUCCUAUAAAGUGAGCUAUAAUAGAUCUAUCCUCCAAUUUUUUUGUCAUCUAUCUCUUGACAUAGGCCGGAUAUCCCCAAGUCUUAAGAUAACCC